AUGGAGGGACAUAAUAUGGGGGAAACGGGGCGGUAACUCACGUGACGACGGGCCGGGUCGUCACAUGUUUCUGGUGGGGUCUGCAGAACUUGAGGUAUGCUUGCUAUAUUUGCUUGAGUUUUGCAUAUUCAACUUCAUGUUUGCUGUUGAUAUUUUUGUACCUAUCACUCUGUCUAACCUCAUAUGCAUGUUUUAUAUUGUUGUUCUCCAACCAUGUAUUGCAAACUGAGGCAGGAAGAGUAAGAAACUCUUUUUGAUAGCUUUUGGCUUAUAUUUGUGUAUCUAUGGCUUAGCAUAAUGCACUUCACAUGAUGCUAGACACUGGGGUUGUCCGGAUAUGAGAUGGAUACUUGUCAUGCGAGAUAUAUCUCAGCUUGUCCACAAAGUCCGGCUUUAAAUGUUUUUUAUUUUUUCAACAAGUUAUUUUAUAGCAUCUUUGAACUCGAAAUGUCGAGAAUUUAUUUUAGUGAAAGAAUCUUCAUUUGAAUAUGAUGAGGUUAAAAGGAUCUUUAAGAACUAGAUUCAAUCCCAAAGAUUGGCAUUUAGGAUGGAGAUGUAUUAAUAAACAACGACCUUGUCUUUCUCAGUUUCAUAUUAGCUUCUCUUAUUCAUUUUAAGUGAUACUUUGCUCCUUGAUGUUCGGUCAAAACCUACACACAAGUACCUAUGUCUGGGAAAUUUGCUUUGCAGUUUUCGUUUCCAUUGCUGGCUUGGUGCAAUUUUUCUUUCUCAUUGGAAAUAUGCAGGUAGAUUCUCUUUCCGGUCUAUUUCAAAGUUCAGGCAAUUAAAAAAUUAUUGUUUACACUAACCUUCACUUCCAACUAAGAGGUUGUGAGUUCGAGUCACCCCAAGAGCAAGGUGGGAAGUUCUUGGAGGGAGGGAUGCCGAGGAUCUAUUGGAAAUAGCCUCUCUACCCCAAGGUCAUAUAGUCUGAUAUUCGAUAAUUUAGCGGGGGGAAGAUUUCAAUAUGACAAAGACUUGCAGAAAUUAUUUGAAGAUUGUUAUUCGUUAAGAUUAGUUAUAUAAUGACAUUAGCUAUUUACUUCAAACAAUAUAAGUUAAACUUUUAA
Long non-coding RNA from Nicotiana attenuata, 1070 nucleotides. RefSeq lists it as uncharacterized. NCBI's taxonomy places the organism in Eukaryota, Viridiplantae, Streptophyta, Magnoliopsida, Solanales, Solanaceae. The transcript has 2 exons. The record is from RefSeq and is a predicted model, not a curated record.